Molecule: long non-coding RNA, 683 nt
Filed under: Junco hyemalis (dark-eyed junco)
Lineage: Eukaryota; Metazoa; Chordata; Aves; Passeriformes; Passerellidae
Description: lncRNA (ENSJHYG00000010812.1)
Source: RNAcentral
AGCCUUAUCCUACUAUUAAGUAAACACUUCAUCCAAUUUCCAUUUCAAUUUUAUCGUUGCUGCCGACACAAGUCAUUAAAAUGCACAAGCUAGCUUUGCAAUUAUUCAUUCAAAUAACACUUUAAAUUGUGAGGGGUAUUCUUGCUCCUGAACUUGCAGAGCUGCCAUCCACACCUCACUGAAACACUCCUGGAAAAACGCACCGAUGGGAAAGUGGCCUUUCCAUCCUGAUUCGCCUCCGCUCAAAGAUCUGCUUCUGUUCACAGGAGGAAAAUGAACUCUCAUGCAAAUAAGGCAACAACGGACUCACCAUAAACAGAGAGAGAAAUUAUAACCUGUGUCCAGCAAGCUCAUUGCCUGGCAAUCUUCCUCCCUUUCAUUUGCAGAGUAGCACACUAAAAGCUGGCAAGACAGACUUUAUGCAAAGCCCUUCUGCAGUAAAGGAAAUUUCUCUGCAGACGAAUGUUGGAUUAAACAAAUUCCCUGGUCCAAGUGGUAGGGCACAUGUUGUGCUCCUGUUCUCUGAGAUGGGGCAGCAGCCUCUUACCAGCUGUUACACCUAUGAACAUUUGUGCUUUCAAAUAAAAAUAUUGUUAAAAUGAAAUCUAUAUUUGUGCUUCCUAUGUUGCUGGUCUUAAAAGUAGACAGGUAUGACAAGGCCUAAAAAAGAGCUUGGAGAGUUU